UUCAUGGACUUUUUUUUUUUUUCCUUAGGGGGAAUGGGGAGUGCAUGAGAAUGACAUGAGCAUAAAUACAACCUGCGCACUCUAUCAGUGGGACCGGAAAGCUCGCUGGUGUGUUUGGUAAUUUUUCUCUCUCCUCUCCUGAUGAUUGACAGCCGCUCGUUUUGAUUUCUUCGCUGCUUGGUGGUGUAGACGCACGCUGCACGUCUUCCUGUUCGCCGACUUCAUGCUGCUGGAAGAACACAUGCUUAAGGGGCAACAUGUGCCCUCUUUGGAAAGUUGUUCCAGGUAGUCAACACCUUACAGGUGCAGCUCAAACCUGCAGUUUCUCCCUCCACCUUCUAUCCUUUUGCUCUCAGGGGGAAUGCUUAUUUGUGUAGCAUGUUCAAGCUCUGCCCUGACACUGGGAUUCAACAAUCAACACAGUUAAUUCUGUAAACACCAGGCUUCAGCAGUUGGUCACUGACAAUGCGGCAUCAAUGGCUCUGAAAUUGCCUUCGCUGCCUAAGUAAAUGGGGAGAAUGGGCCUAUAAUGGACACGAGGACGAGGAGUCAUUUGAAUCGCCUGCUGAUCACACCGCCCACCCAUUGAAGAUGGAGGGAGGGUUUUAUUGGGUGUUGUUUUAUCAGGUGCGAAUAAAGCAUCAGCGUUAAAAUUACAGGCCUACAAUCUCCAUCUGCAUUAAAGUAAAAAAGAGUGUGCCUUCACACAUGUAGGUGCUCUGUUAAUUUGCAUAUUUAGAAUUAUUUGCAUAUUCAAAAGGGAGACAUUAGAUUGAGCAGUGCAAUCUAACUUUUUUUUUCUUUUUUGAGGGUUGGGUCAGCUGCUCUAAUCAUUUUGCUGUGCACAGUUAACUCUCAUUAGCCUGGCCGUCUCUUUCAGGCCUUGACUGAAUGUGUUCCAUCUGAGCAGAUGCUGCAUGAAGAGUCUACUUGUUUAUUUAUUUCCAGGAAGUUUCAGUGUGAAGUGUUUGCAAGCCAGCCUUUCCAAAGAAUGCUCCACAUCUGAGUAUCAGCCACAGCAGUGUAUGCGAAUCUGAAUGAACUUGUUUACAUCCCCAACAUCCUGUCCCAAGCAGCGUUUACAACACUGUUAAUCUGUUGCCAAACUUAUAAAGGAGAUUGAAGUCAUUCAGCACAGUUGGUUGCCAUGGCCUGUGACUGCAGAGGCUUUCUAAAUCCAGUCUUCCCCAGGCAGCCAGUGAAACAUCAGGGGUGACCUCGAGCCAGCCUCUCUUUCCACGGCCAUAAUGAAGACUUUGGCGUUUAGGGAGCUUUUGGCUCAGUAAGCUAAGAGGUGGAGGAAAUUCAUGCAAAGUCUUAUUGAACAAUGAAAACACAAUAAGUAUCUCUCCACUGACUCAUGGGGAGGCCAAUUGCCAAGUUUAAGAAAAG
Long non-coding RNA from Etheostoma spectabile (orangethroat darter), 1392 nucleotides. RefSeq lists it as uncharacterized. The record is from RefSeq and is a predicted model, not a curated record. Lineage: Eukaryota; Metazoa; Chordata; Actinopteri; Perciformes; Percidae. The transcript is spliced from 2 exons.